RNAcentral lists this long non-coding RNA (703 nucleotides) under Bos taurus (domestic cattle). Its description in RNAcentral is "long non-coding RNA NONBTAT016347". Lineage: Eukaryota; Metazoa; Chordata; Mammalia; Artiodactyla; Bovidae. The record is from RNAcentral.
AUCAAUAUCCACCAACUCUGCUAGGAUUACCUUGAGAUAAAUGUUUAUAUUCAUCUGUAUACAGUCUAUAAAAUUUCCCCAGCUUCAUUAUUCCCAAGAGAAUUAUCUACCUCGUUUGGUAAUUUAUCAAGUGUCACAUGGAUUUCUCAGGUAAAACUUAGGAAGGUCCAGAUCAGCAUCUCUGUGAAGGGCCUGGGAUGACUUCCUUGACAGCAGCCCAGCGGAAGGCUUGAUGUUGAAGGCCUGAGCUCUGGUGGACAGCUGGGCUGAGUGUGAAAGCGUUUCAAGAAGCUGGAGAACAGAGCCUAGAAUGGAGAGGAUCUCAAAUCCUAAACCCACAUACAGGGCUCAGUUCCUAGCCCAGCGUGCUCUGAACUUAUAGGUUUAAACUCCGCCACAAUGUCUUUCUCAGUCACUCUGCAACUCCAACUUUUCUUUGUGCUGCUUCUUGAAGGAGGGGAUUUCCAAGCCCUGGGACCCACGGUGGGUGAGGGUCAUGGCUUUUGGGGUUUGUGUGUCUCAUGGUCAGCUGACCUCCCAAAGAUGUUUCCCUGACAGCCUGCCUGUUUUUCCAGAGAAGUCACGGCAGCAGGGGAGGAGGGGAAGUUGCCUUGACUCUUCUCACACCGACUGUACCUUCCUUCUAGGACUCAGCUCAGCCUUCUGUCACCGUGAGCAAUAAACCUCUGUCCUCAUGUUUGUG